This 733-nucleotide ribosomal RNA is filed under the name Salmonella enterica. RNAcentral's name for it is "partial 23S ribosomal RNA". It matches the Rfam family "Bacterial large subunit ribosomal RNA", at positions 2210 to 2925 of the family's 2925-position model. The record is from RNAcentral. Lineage: Bacteria; Pseudomonadati; Pseudomonadota; Gammaproteobacteria; Enterobacterales; Enterobacteriaceae.
AUGUUUGAUGUUCUAACGUGGACCCGUAAUCCGGGUUGCGGACAGUGUCUGGUGGGUAGUUUGACUGGGGCGGUCUCCUCCUAAAGAGUAACGGAGGAGCACGAAGGUUGGCUAAUCCUGGUCGGACAUCAGGAGGUUAGUGCAAUGGCAUAAGCCAGCUUGACUGCGAGCGUGACGGCGCGAGCAGGUGCGAAAGCAGGUCAUAGUGAUCCGGUGGUUCUGAAUGGAAGGGCCAUCGCUCAACGGAUAAAAGGUACUCCGGGGAUAACAGGCUGAUACCGCCCAAGAGUUCAUAUCGACGGCGGUGUUUGGCACCUCGAUGUCGGCUCAUCACAUCCUGGGGCUGAAGUAGGUCCCAAGGGUAUGGCUGUUCGCCAUUUAAAGUGGUACGCGAGCUGGGUUUAGAACGUCGUGAGACAGUUCGGUCCCUAUCUGCCGUGGGCGCUGGAGAACUGAGGGGGGCUGCUCCUAGUACGAGAGGACCGGAGUGGACGCAUCACUGGUGUUCGGGUUGUCAUGCCAAUGGCACUGCCCGGUAGCUAAAUGCGGAAGAGAUAAGUGCUGAAAGCAUCUAAGCACGAAACUUGCCCCGAGAUGAGUUCUCCCUGAGACUUAAAGUCUCCUGAAGGAACGUUGAAGACGACGACGUUGAUAGGCCGGGUGUGUAAGCGCAGUGAUGCGUUGAGCUAACCGGUACUAAUGAACCGUGAGGCUUAACCUUACAACGCCGAAG